This 24-nucleotide non-coding RNA is filed under the name Arabidopsis thaliana (thale cress). The record is from RNAcentral. Lineage: Eukaryota; Viridiplantae; Streptophyta; Magnoliopsida; Brassicales; Brassicaceae.
AAGCAGGACAAUGGAACUUUUCCA